Molecule: ribosomal RNA, 301 nt
Filed under: uncultured bacterium
Lineage: Bacteria
Description: partial 16S ribosomal RNA
Rfam family: Bacterial small subunit ribosomal RNA
Source: RNAcentral
CAGUAGCCGCGGGAAAACGUAGGUGGCAAGCGUUGUCCGGAACUAUUGGGCGUAAAGGGCUCGCAGGCGGUUUCUUAAGUCUGAUGUGAAAGCCCCCGGCUCAACCGGGGAGGGUCAUUGGAAACUGGGAAACUUGAGUGCAGAAGAGGAGAGUGGAAUUCCACGUGUAGCGGUGAAAUGCGUAGAGAUGUGGAGGAACACCAGUGGCGAAGGCGACUCUCUGGUCUGUAGCUGACGCUGAGGAGCGAAAGCGUGGGGAGCGAACAGGAUUAGAUACCCCGGUAGUCCCUGUCUCUUAUAC